This 270-nucleotide ribosomal RNA is filed under the name uncultured bacterium. RNAcentral's name for it is "partial 16S ribosomal RNA". It matches the Rfam family "Bacterial small subunit ribosomal RNA", at positions 793 to 1055 of the family's 1533-position model. The record is from RNAcentral.
GUCCACGCCGUAAACGAUGGGUGCUAGGUGUCACGGGCAUUGACUCCCGUGGUGCCGUAGCCAACGCAUUAAGCACCCCGCCUGGGAAGUACGGCCGCAAAGGCUAAAAACUCAAAGGAAUUGACGGGGGGCCCCGCACAAGCGGUGGAGCAUGUGGUUUAAUUCGACGCAACGCGAAGAACCUUACCUGGGCUAGAAAAUGCAGGAACCUGGGAGAAGUCUCGGGGUGCUCUUCGGAGAGCCUGUAGUUAGGUGCUGCAUGGCUGUCGU